GAAAGAGGCCAAGGGCAGUAAGGACUGCUAAUCCCUAUUUCCAUGGUUAAACUCCGUGGCUCAUUCGCAAU
This 71-nucleotide transfer RNA is filed under the name Wallago attu. RNAcentral describes it as "tRNA-Ser". The record is from RNAcentral. Lineage: Eukaryota; Metazoa; Chordata; Actinopteri; Siluriformes; Siluridae.